Molecule: ribosomal RNA, 103 nt
Filed under: Krameria paucifolia
Lineage: Eukaryota; Viridiplantae; Streptophyta; Magnoliopsida; Zygophyllales; Krameriaceae
Description: partial 5.8S ribosomal RNA
Rfam family: 5.8S ribosomal RNA
About the family: 5.8S ribosomal RNA (5.8S rRNA) is a component of the large subunit of the eukaryotic ribosome. It is transcribed by RNA polymerase I as part of the 45S precursor that also contains 18S and 28S rRNA.
Source: RNAcentral
UAAGCACGACUCCCGGCAAUGGAUAUCUCGGCUCUCGCAUCGAUGAAGAACGUAGCGAAAUGCGAUMCUUGGUGUGAAUUGCAGAAUCCCGUGAACCAUCGAG